AUUGAACGCUGGCGGCAGGCCUAACACAUGCAAGUCGAACGAGUGGCGGACGGGUGAGUAAUGUCUGGGAAACUGCCCGAUGGAGGGGGAUAACUACUGGAAACGGUAGCUAAUACCGCAUACCAUCGGAUGUGCCCAGAUGGGAUUAGCUAGUAGGUGGGGUAACGGCUCACCUAGGCGACGAUCCCUAGCUGGUCUGAGAGGAUGACCAGCCAAACUGGAACUGGGACACGGUCCAGACCCCAACGGGAGGCAGAAGUGGGGAAUAUGGCACAAGGGGGGCAAGCCUGAUGCAGCCAUGCCGCGUGUAUGAAGAAGGCUUUCGGGUUGUAAAGUACUUUCAGCGAGGAGGCGUUACUCGCAGAAGAAGCACCGGCUAACUCCGUGCCAGCAGCCGCGGGAAUA
RNAcentral lists this ribosomal RNA (405 nucleotides) under uncultured bacterium. RNAcentral describes it as "partial 16S ribosomal RNA". It matches the Rfam family "Bacterial small subunit ribosomal RNA", at positions 29 to 525 of the family's 1533-position model. The record is from RNAcentral.